CACCUGUCAGAUUUGCCCCAUGAAGCCAGAUCUCCAUCCCCAGAUUUGCUUUCUGAUCUGGAUACAGCACAAAAGAGCAGCUGAAUGUUUGGAUUGGAAACAUUUCUGUUCCCUUUUAUUGCAAGAUGUAGCAGCGACGCAUUCUCCUGAAGAAGACCCUUUUCUAUUGCUAAGCACAAAUUAGCACGCUAAUAUAAACCUCACUGCUAUAAAAAUGAGCGGCGAGUAAUAAUUUUACCUCCUUUCUUACUGUGACCAUUUGUAGCCAAAAGUACACCUGAAAUUAAUAAAAUACUUGUUGCAAAGUCCGGACACCUUCACUUUGAAGCAAGGUAAGGAGAAACAGAGUUCCUCUAUAAAUUCAAAGGAUGUGUAAUUGGUAAAAGUCCAACUAAUAGCAAAUCAGUUCAACUACCGUGUUUUAGAUUUCUUGCGACAUCAGCUAUCCCCGAAAUUCCAUUAAAUAUGAUUAGUUUAAUUAUUUUGUCCUUAGUAGAAGAGUGCUAAUUAACUUGGUAAUGAUAAAUAUGCAUUUGAAUGUCAGUUUAAAACCCCUAAAGAUUCUCAUUAUCCUUAAAAUCUGAGGUAUGGAUUUUUUAAUUUUCUUUUUUUUCUUUUUAGCAUUAGGACCACCACAGAAAAGAUUUCUUAAAAGUUGGGAGAGGAACUCAAAGGUAGCAGGCAUUAAAAUGUCGUAACAGUUCUGUAGCUCUUAUCAAGGCUUUCUUCCAAUGGAAAGAAAAAAGAAAAGUGAAUUUUUGGUGCCACCUUUUCUUCAAAUGCUAUCCCCAUGUGGAUAACAGCAAUACAAAUGAAAUAAAACAGAGUACAAUAUAAUAAAGGAGCAAUAAAAG
Podarcis lilfordi (Lilford's wall lizard) is the source of this 854-nucleotide non-coding RNA. NCBI's taxonomy places the organism in Eukaryota, Metazoa, Chordata, Lepidosauria, Squamata, Lacertidae. The record is from the annotation of a GenBank genome assembly.